Long non-coding RNA from Sitophilus oryzae (rice weevil), 169 nucleotides. RefSeq lists it as uncharacterized. The transcript has 3 exons. The record is from RefSeq and is a predicted model, not a curated record. Lineage: Eukaryota; Metazoa; Arthropoda; Insecta; Coleoptera; Curculionidae.
AAUUAAUAUUAAUACAAUUGAAGGGUCGGCCGUAACAACGUUGUAUAUAACAUUUUGCUGAAAUGUGAUGUUUCCCUAAAACAACGUUUUAUAAGCAUAUUUGAAUGUAUUGGCGCAACUGGAACCGAAAAAUUUUGCCCGAUGUCUGGCAAUAAGGCGACCUUCAGUC